AAAUUUUAAAGAUGGAUAAAUUAUCCUAAACAUGAUCUACUGAAGACUGCUUUCAUACUUGAUUAUUUGCCAAAUUUCCUCGAUAAUUAAUGGAAUUCUUUUGAAUGAGACAUGUAUAACCAUCUGGAAUUUCUUGGCUUUGACCUGACAAGUUUCCUUGUCUUCAGGAUGGUUGUUGUAUUUACGCCUACCAUCAUGUCUUCCUAGUCCCAUUCGACAAUUGGGAAGUGGAGCAUUUAACAUCUUGCUCACCUUCUAUGUGACCCCUUCAUACCACACCUCCGUUGGGAGAAAAAACAAACAGCACAGAGCUGAGAACUAUCAAGGAUUGAGGACCAGAUUAUAUCACCUCUCCUUUCUAGGUGAAUAUUGCUCUUCCACCGAAGACACUGGGAACACAGUCUGCAUGGAGACAUCCUUCCACAUGAGAAUACCACUUCAAGACCACAACAGGUAACUGUGUCAUCUAAAUUCAUA
This 477-nucleotide long non-coding RNA is filed under the name Sus scrofa (pig). RNAcentral describes it as "lncRNA (ENSSSCG00060024815.1)". The record is from RNAcentral. Lineage: Eukaryota; Metazoa; Chordata; Mammalia; Artiodactyla; Suidae.